CCUAGAAGGGAAGGAAAGAGGCGAGGAAGGAAAUGGCCCAGGGAAAAUGGUAACAUGGGUAGAGGAUUUGAUUGAGCUGUGCAGUACAGAGCCCUGGGCUGGAACCUGAAAGUGAGGUUGGGACUGGAUUCCCCCCCCAGCCCCGAGGAAGCGGUGUACAAAGGUAGCUGAGCCCAGAGAGGGGGCUGCAGUCUGAAUGUGACCUCGCUGAAGAAGGAGCUGUGGAGAGGCUGGAAGCUUUUUAUUUCUGUUAAAAUAGUUUUGAAUUUGAGUGUGGCUCGCUGACCCUGGAAGGAACAGGCUAAAGACUGUGCCCUGGCUGGAGGGGUGAGUUAUCUGCAAGAAACCACCCCAGCCCCAGAGUGAGUGUUGACAAGGACACUGUGAGGCUAUGCCUGGCCAUGAGGAAGCGCAUAGUGAGACGAACAGGUUAGAUACCAUUGGCUCGCUGACCCAGCCAUUGGCUCGCUGACCCAGCCAUACCCCAGACCAGAAUCCAUGACUGUGGUUGUAGACCCAGUUCCUGGGACCCAGCCAGAACCCAUGCAAGGAUCAGAUCCGGCAGAGCAGUCAGCAUCACAGCCUGCGCUUACAACCCCACCAGAGUCAGGAGCCAGCACCAAGGAGCUCCAUGAAGCCUGCACCUGCAGCAGCAGCUAAACCGGUGCAAGGUCAACUGGAGCCUGAAAUACCACCUAGCGCACCAGCGUAGAGCAGUUCACAGUCAAUGGAGACACCCACAUCAUCUGCAUCGCUUCGUGUGACCCAGCCAAAGUUCACAACAUAACGAGGAACUAACGUCUUAUGGAGCAGUUCCAGGUAGAGCAGGAAGCGGAUGAGAGCCUCAAGGGAGCUUGGAUGGCAGCCCAGAGUAACCUACUCACCUCUCAUCUCUUCUAAUAGGUCCAGGUGUGUUGUAGAAGGAGGACUCUUACACAAGGAGACCCUUUCUGGUGGGCACAGGGAGGACUGGCUUCCUCAGAGACAGUAGUUCCAACUAAGUAUAGGGAAAAACUCUGGAGCUUAGCCCACGAUCACCCUAGUGGCCAUGCUGGGGUGAACAGGACCAAAGACCAUUUGGGGAAGUCAUUCUGACUGGGAGGGAAUCAGCAAGGACAUUUCUACCUAUCUCUGGUGUCGUGAGGUGUGCCAGAGAGUGGUAAAGCCCAAGACUAGGUCAAGGCCCCUCUUCAGCCACUCCCCAUGAUUGAGGUUCCAUUUCAGCAUGUAGCUGUAGAUAUUCUGGGUCCUUUCUCUAAGAAGACAUCCAGAGGAAAGCUGUACAUACUGACUUUCAUGGCCACAAUGCCAGGGCUGGUGUCGGCUGUGGCCGCAAGGCCAGGGCCGGCGCCUGAACCAUCUGAACUAAGGAGUCUGCUACAACUUUGACUUAAGGGUCACGUGGCUUUCAGCUCAUACAGUCAAGGCUCUUACACUAAGAUUCAAAUGUCCAAGGUUCAAUCCUGCCCACUGAAAACUAGGGCCUGUCAGCGUUACAAGUGGGGGCUCAUCUGAGAUGUCAACUGGGAAGUUUUUGAAGCUCAGAAUGUCCUUCAACAUGUCCUCUCCCAGAAGUACACCCAUAGGUGUUUUACCUCUUCCAGGGGCCGUGUAGAUCGGGGUGGCCAACCUGUGGCUCUAGACCCAUGUGCGGCUCUUCAGAAGUUAAUAUGCGGCUCCUUGUAUAGGCACC
Molecule: long non-coding RNA, 1693 nt
Organism: Mauremys mutica (yellowpond turtle)
Lineage: Eukaryota; Metazoa; Chordata; Testudines; Geoemydidae
Exons: 3
Source: RefSeq, a predicted model, not a curated record